UUUGAAAAUUAUAAAAGGUAACGCCUGCCCAGUGACAUUGUUUAACGGCCGCGGUAUUCUGACCGUGCGAAGGUAGCGUAAUCACUUGUCUUUUAAAUAAAGACUUGUAUGAAUGGCAUCACGAAGACUUAACUGUCUCCUUAGUCCUAUCAGUGAAACUGAUCUUUCCGUACAAAAGCGGAAAUAAAACCAUAAGACGAGAAGACCCUAUGGAGCUUAAAACUAAAAUCUAGCUAUAUCAUCUGUUAAAAUUUAUUAAUACUAUAUCUUUAUAGACUUAGCCAAAGUUUUCAGUUGGGGUGACUGUGGAGAAAAACUAAUCCUCCAUGUAGAUUUAAGCCUUGAGCUACCACUCUCAGCAUUAACAAGUUUAACUUUACUUGAUCCAAUAAUUUUGAUCAACGGACCA
This 409-nucleotide ribosomal RNA is filed under the name Leptobrachium hainanense (Hainan pseudomoustache toad). RNAcentral's name for it is "partial 16S ribosomal RNA". It matches the Rfam family "Archaeal large subunit ribosomal RNA", at positions 1914 to 2492 of the family's 2987-position model. Lineage: Eukaryota; Metazoa; Chordata; Amphibia; Anura; Megophryidae. The record is from RNAcentral.